Molecule: long non-coding RNA, 1562 nt
Organism: Cynoglossus semilaevis (tongue sole)
Lineage: Eukaryota; Metazoa; Chordata; Actinopteri; Pleuronectiformes; Cynoglossidae
Exons: 2
Source: RefSeq, a predicted model, not a curated record
CUGUGGAGGCAGGUUUGUAGAUGCAGCCUGAGCUUUGGUCCUCUCCUGGUAGCAGAAGGAGUAGACGCAGGGCACCGUGAUCAUGAAGACCAACAGGACUGGAAGAACCAGAAGAUAAAGUAUCAGAAUCAGUUAAAGGGUGAACAGGGGGCAGCUUUAAGGGGGAGCAGUGAGUGGGGACGGUGCCAACUCCAAGAAAUACAUCAAGGCACAACUACCAAGCACAAAGCAUGACCACAGCCAUUGACCGACGUAUACAGAAAAAUGACUCCACAAAGACAGGGUGAGGUAGAGAGGUAUAUAUACCCAGGACACUAGGUGACACCAGGUGAGUGUGAUGACACUAAUCACCUCCACACACUGACAGCAGGGGAGGGGGCAAACCUCACAGUUUCUUAUACAGAUAUCAACAAAUGAGUACAGCAGAAAUAGAAUCUCCAAAAUUAAAGUUCACGAGCCAUAGAAUAAUCAGUAGUCCACACUGUAGUUUGAUUUGAUGAUUGACAAAAACUCACCAAUGAACAGGACUAGAACCACAAAGGCUCUCUUCUCCAGGACGUUGGCCUGAGGGAGAUCUACAAGUUUGUUGGACACCUUCUGAAGAAUUUCCAGCACCUCCUCCUUCACACCCAUGCUGACUCUGAGAUGUGCAGCCGAUUAAUGAAUGAAUUGAAUACAGGAGCAAGCGGAGUUUGCAGACCUGAUGCACUGCAGCGCUGGAGGAAGACUAGAUGUACGUGGGCUUCACUGUUUCUGACAAAGUUAUUUUCUUAUGCAGCUCCACCCUUAACUGCUUCCACCCUGCAAUUACUCCUCAAGGCUGGUGGAGCUGAAGUAGUCGUGUACACCAUCACCCUGAAAUGAUGACUAGUGGUACAUCAGUGCUGUAGCUGUAAUGAAUCUACUGAUUACUGCGUUGUAUUCAAGUGUACAUACACCUACAAUACUUAGGUGUCUCAGCUGUGGUCUAACACUCAGACAGAUUGUGUCGAUCUGUGUGUUGUCUCACAGUCGGAGUACAUUCAUAUCCAACCUCCUCCACGUAGAGUUUAAUUAUAAACCAGGAAAACUAUUUCCAGCCUGGCAUUUCAGGAGUGUGUCCAGUCCUCCUCAGCAGAGCAGCUGUGUGUGGGUGAGUUGUCGGCUGACACCAGUGAGGACACUGGACUGUGACGUGGAAACUCAGGACAUGAAUGAGAAACACUGGAAGUUAUUGGAUUAGUAUAAUCCUUGUAAUGAAAACACUGUGUUAUUGAAGUUGUCUGCACGUCUAAUGUCUGGGAUACUUCCCAAAACCCUGGGUCAGGACCCUGAGAUGGGUCUUAAAUAUAUAAACAUGGCAUCACGUUCAUGUCUCUGCUUAAGAAUAGCAAGAAUAUAAUUAAAAUACCAAGGACAAAGUCAGUACGUCCUGUGAAUGGUUCCUUUAAACGGUGCACAGUGGCAAAUGUGGUUAGAACACUCUUCAGCAAAAACAUCAUUGCUCCUCCAGUUUUUUCACAUACAGUUUGACAGUCUGGGUUUCUUUCUUCUUACAUACAUAAAGAUGAACAUUUUGAAGA